GUCUGCCCUGGGAUGGCCUUCCCUGCACGCGCGCGUUUGUAUCUAAAUCGCAGGGGACCGUCUCUUCCUCAGCUUGCCGGCGCGAGGAGCCAGAGCCUCGAGUUAGGGCCACACGGGGGAAUUUGGGGCGGGUUGACUUUUCCCGCAACAUAUUUUGUCAGAGACCUUGGAGAAAGUCCUACUGCUGGCGCCUUUUAGUUUCCUCAGAUGAUAACAUUCCCAACUCCGCUCGAAGCGUCCAGUCUUAAUCCCCUCCAGCAGAAUGGUGCUGACUAACUCAGAUGUCUGAGAUCCGCAGCUGUGUCAAUAAUAGGGCUUUCUGGCAAACUUGUGAACGUAGGCUCGAAAUUGUUUUUCUGGACGCUUGAAUAUCAGUAUAUUCAGUUGAAAACAUGUGAUUUUGUUGCCAGUUUAUCAGUUCCUACCUGGCCUCCCGAGGUCAGUCCUUCAGGACUGACGCUGCAACUCCAACUCCCAUGUUUCUUUUAAAUCACAAAGGAAAAUAUCUUUUAAAAAUCAGGAUACACUGAUUAAUUAUGUUAGUAACUAAUUGGCAUUUGUUGAAUCAAAAAGUUUUGGAAGCGUUAAAUAGUUUUAGCCUCUAAUUUUACAAUAAAGUGAAGCUCAAAGUUGGGAAUUUGACCGGAUGAGGGCUACAAGCCUAUCCUUUCCUCCUCCCUCUUCAUCUUUCCCAACCUGUCACCCUGGCUCGUUUAUGUCUCUGUAUAGUUGUAGGCUUUCAUCAUUAUACAGAGAAAAUAACAAAGUAAGUAGUGUCUUCUAAACAUCUAGCCAUUAAUUCCACCAAUCCAUUCCAUUUUCAUUCAAGAAAUACCAGAGAUGCUGAGUAAAGAUUAAUUAGCUGCCUGGUUCCACAGAUACAUGGGAACAAAUCCAGAAUAGUAGUAGCUCAAAUCCAAAUAUAGUAACAAAUAGAAGUUAUAUAUUUUAAACGAAAAUAGUAGAUUUUCCCAUGAUCUCUUGAAAGAAAAAUAAAAUUAUAUUUUUAAAGUUUUGUUGAGUAGACUUGCAUUGUAGUUUUACGGAAUUAUUUUUAGUGUUACAAUCUUUAAAAGUUUUCCCCUUAGAUUGUUUAUCAGCCAGUCUCUCUCUCCCGAAGAGUUCUUUAGUUUUUGAGGAAGUUGAUUUGGAGGCAGUUCUUACAAUGAGUUAAGGGUUCCCAGUUGUGUUACAGUUUCUUUUUCCUUGAUAUCUCAUUUCUACUCUGCCAACAAGAACACCAUGCACCCCAGCUCUAAAGAAGGAAGACUUUCAAGGUAAGUGACCUUCCUGAUUGAACUGAGUUA
This 1307-nucleotide long non-coding RNA is filed under the name Homo sapiens (human). RNAcentral's name for it is "non-protein coding lnc-HESX1-1:1". Lineage: Eukaryota; Metazoa; Chordata; Mammalia; Primates; Hominidae. The record is from RNAcentral.